This 441-nucleotide ribosomal RNA is filed under the name uncultured bacterium. Its description in RNAcentral is "partial 16S ribosomal RNA". It matches the Rfam family "Bacterial small subunit ribosomal RNA", at positions 338 to 795 of the family's 1533-position model. The record is from RNAcentral.
CCUACGGGGAGCUGCAGUGGGGGAUAUUGCACAAUGGGGGAAACCCUGAUGCAGCGACGCCGCGUGGGUGAAGAAGUAUUUCGGUAUGUAAAGCCCUAUCAGCAGGGAAGAAAGAAGACGGUACCUGACUAAGAAGCCCCGGCUAACUACGUGCCAGCAGCCGCGGUAAUACGUAGGGGGCGAGCGUUAUCCGGAUUCACUGGGUGUAAAGGGAGCGUAGACGGCCGUGCAAGCCAGGAGUGAAAGCCCGGGGCCCAACCCCGGGACUGCUCUUGGAACUGUGCGGCUGGAGUGCGGGAGGGGCAGGCGGAAUGCCUGGUGUAGCGGUGAAAUGCGUAGAUAUCAGGAGGAACACCGGCGGCGAAGGCGGCCUGCUGGACCGCGACUGACGUUGAGGCUCGAAAGCGUGGGGAGCGAACAGGAUUAGAUACCCUUGUAGUC